ACCACACUUUGUUUAGGAAGACCAGACUGGCAUAGAACCAGAUCGAGCUGAUAUUUUUGUUGCAUCACAGACUAGAUCAGAUGGAAGUUUAGUGUGCAACGAAGCAAGAGUCUCUGUGGAUAAACUUUCACAAGUAAUGACUCAGAAUAUAAGAAAUGGAGUACUAAAUAAUGAGGCUAGGCCAAAUGAUGCAUUUGAGCAAGUGUUUGGUCCUGAGCAUCCGGGACGAGUUCGAUGAGUUGGACAUGGACCCACACCGUUCAAGUAUUUUUCAAAUCUGGAAUCUACUACGUCUAAUGCCGAGAUGAUAGAUAUGAAGCACCGUAAGAAAGGACUUGAAGAUAAACUAGAGAUCGUGACUAAUGUUCUGUUUGCUCUUACUGGAUCAAGAACUCAUUUUCAGGAAAGUAGCAUUACGAAGACUUGAACUGAAGCAGAAAGCCAUUUGACUUGAAACUGAUGUGCGUUGGGUGUGGAACAAGGCAGUUGACUGGGAAUAACGGAAUUUCUUAUUUUUAU
This is a long non-coding RNA of Camelina sativa (false flax), 519 nucleotides long. RefSeq lists it as uncharacterized. The record is from RefSeq and is a predicted model, not a curated record. NCBI's taxonomy places the organism in Eukaryota, Viridiplantae, Streptophyta, Magnoliopsida, Brassicales, Brassicaceae.